RNAcentral lists this ribosomal RNA (254 nucleotides) under uncultured bacterium. RNAcentral's name for it is "partial 16S ribosomal RNA". It matches the Rfam family "Bacterial small subunit ribosomal RNA", at positions 524 to 777 of the family's 1533-position model. The record is from RNAcentral.
UACGAAGGGGGCUAGCGUUGCUCGGAAUCACUGGGCGUAAAGCGCACGUAGGCGGAUUGCUAAGUCAGGGGUGAAAUCCUGGAGCUCAACUCCAGAACUGCCCUUGAUACUGGCGGUCUCGAGUCCGGGAGAGGUGAGUGGAACUGCGAGUGUAGAGGUGAAAUUCGUAGAUAUUUGGAAGAACACCAGUGGCGAAGGCGGCUCACUGGACUGGUAUUGACGCUGAGGUGCGAAAGCGUGGGGAGCAAACAGGG